This 731-nucleotide ribosomal RNA is filed under the name Microbacterium aurantiacum. RNAcentral's name for it is "partial 16S ribosomal RNA". It matches the Rfam family "Bacterial small subunit ribosomal RNA", at positions 105 to 848 of the family's 1533-position model. Lineage: Bacteria; Bacillati; Actinomycetota; Actinomycetes; Micrococcales; Microbacteriaceae. The record is from RNAcentral.
GGUGAGUAACACGUGAGCAACCUGCCCUGGACUCUGGGAUAAGCGCUGGAAACGGCGUCUAAUACUGGAUAUGAGCCCCUAUCGCAUGGUGGGGGUUGGAAAGAUUUUUUGGUCUGGGAUGGGCUCGCGGCCUAUCAGCUUGUUGGUGAGGUAAUGGCUCACCAAGGCGUCGACGGGUAGCCGGCCUGAGAGGGUGACCGGCCACACUGGGACUGAGACACGGCCCAGACUCCUACGGGAGGCAGCAGUGGGGAAUAUUGCACAAUGGGCGAAAGCCUGAUGCAGCAACGCCGCGUGAGGGAUGACGGCCUUCGGGUUGUAAACCUCUUUUAGCAGGGAAGAAGCGAAAGUGACGGUACCUGCAGAAAAAGCGCCGGCUAACUACGUGCCAGCAGCCGCGGUAAUACGUAGGGCGCAAGCGUUAUCCGGAAUUAUUGGGCGUAAAGAGCUCGUAGGCGGUUCGUCGCGUCUGCUGUGAAAUCCCGAGGCUCAACCUCGGGCCUGCAGUGGGUACGGGCAGACUAGAGUGCGGUAGGGGAGAUUGGAAUUCCUGGUGUAGCGGUGGAAUGCGCAGAUAUCAGGAGGAACACCGAUGGCGAAGGCAGAUCUCUGGGCCGUAACUGACGCUGAGGAGCGAAAGGGUGGGGAGCAAACAGGCUUAGAUACCCUGGUAGUCCACCCCGUAAACGUUGGGAACUAGUUGUGGGGACCAUUCCACGGUUUCCGUGACG